GCACCCGAAAAGGAUUGUGGGUUCGUAGUCUCAUCCUAGUUUCAUGCCUCUCGGAACCUGCAGGUCGGAGGAACGUUGGACUACAGUUCCCAAGACCGCCUGCAGAGUGCGGUCUUGAUAGUAAACAAGAGUCAUAGGGACACGUGUAUCAGCUCGUUUGUUUUGCUGUCUGGGACAAAAGGGAGGGGGCGGAGGAAGGGAGUGUUUCAAAGCUUUGGCCUCUUCCCUUCCUUUGGGCCUUUCCUAGCACUCAAAGCAGCUUCACGUCUCUCGCAGCACCCAUUCCGGGCCAUAAACAGCCAGAGUCGCUCGCGGCUCAAAGUUUGGCAGGAGGCCAAGGCAUCUUUUUGUCUGGUCCAUCCAACAGGCAUCAUUCUGUCUGAGCAAUCAGUAAGUAUCUUCUGAACAGAUAAACUGAAGGAGAAAAUAAGCAGUAUGAAUUUUCUUAUUAACAUAAUAGCACAUUAUACAUUAUGCUGUAUUCAUAUGCUCUUUAGAACACUGAACUCAUUAAAUAGCUUCUGUGUGCUUUAAGUGUCACUUGAUCAAUAGGGUCAUCACUGUUUUUUUGAGAACAGGUCUCACCUUAUCUGUAUAAAAUAAGCACUACCUUGUCAUUCAUUUUGAUUGCCAGUCAAAGGCAGAUGAUAUUUGUCUAACAUAUUGCAGCUCCUUCAGGGUACUCAGCAUGUCACAAUACUCUCCAUAGUAAUAAAAAUGAGGAUAUUGAAGUUCAGGAUUAAGGCGGUGCAGUUACAAGGAAAAGAUUUGCCAAAGAUGUCUUUAGAGUGAGCACUUUGCCUAAGAUAAUUAAAAUAUUAUUUGGCUUUAAAAAUGUCAUUCGUGUACAUUUUAAGAGUCCAGUCACAUCGUAAAAGGAGGUAUUGAAUGUCAAUCUUCAGCCUAAAACAGGCAGUGCGAUUCCAGAGGUACGAGACUCUUGUUCCUCAGCAGGACAGUGGGAGGUUUCAGGGCAGGGAUGGAAAACCAGCAAUUAGAAGCCAACUUUAUCCAAGAUUUUGCCUGGUCAUGUGUACGCCUCAUAAAUUCAUUCGAGUGUUCUACUUGCAGUGGAAAUUUGCUGAAAUGAAAACAUUGAGGGUUUCACUUCCGGGUUGUGGCAGUGAAGAGUCAAGGCGGAUUCUGUCACUUGAGAGUCCAUUUCUAGCUCACACUUAACCACCCCCUUGCACCUGGGAAAAAAAGCCACUUUGUUUUUCCAAUCGUUGCUGAACACAAGUGCUUGACUCACCAUUGAGGCCCAACAACCCAAAACAUCAGAGUCUGGAGCAGAGAAAGGUCUAUGUGAGGGCCAAGAAAGGAGACUGGGCAGCUCAUAAUCAAAAACCCCAAACUCCCCAACAGAAUGGGGAAGACUUUUUAAAGGCAAAAUUGGGGGUGCCGGCUCAGGGUGUGUGGCUUUCUUCUGAUUGGUGUGCGGUAAGAGGGUGGUGUCCAGGAAUCUUGUGCUCAGCCUCAAGUUGCCAUCCUCCACCCGCGGGGGAGAGGGGGGGAAACACCUCAGUUCCUCCAGAAGAGCUUAAAGACGAGCAUCAGUUAUGUAUAUCCCUUCAGGAGGCACCAGGACACUGUCCCAUGGCUGUGCUGCUCUUUCUGGAUGGCUUUUCCUUUGUUUCCAUAUUCCCUCACUUCGCGAAUUACUAACUGCUUGAAUCUGCCCUUUGGAACGCAGGCAAGGUCUACAAGGCUGAAGCCUUUUUCUCCAAACAAGAAGCUGGGGACAUGAAAGGCGUUUGCACCCAGGAGCCUCCCACAGGGUCCAGCUUGUUUUCACAAUUGUGAGUAAACAAUGCAUUUAGCUACUACAAUGGCUCAGUUGUAAUUGGUGUUACCAAAACAUUUCAUGUAUUUACAUUUUGCAGUGGCUUAUUUAUUUAUUUGGGAAAAUAGCAGACCCAGGCUGCGGUUAAAAUCUAUUGAGGUGAGAAAAAACACCUACCUAAACAAGUAGCAUUUCAUUUUUAUGGUGGAGACAAUUGCUUCCGUAGCAUCUGUCAUCCCAUCUUCUCAUAUAUAAACGUUAACAUGCUUCUUCAGGACUUCCUAGACAACAUAAGAGUUACAAACUUGGAGCAUAAAAAGGGACAGGAAGACCUAGAUCUAUUGGUCAAAUAAAGUUUUCUUCUCAAAUCAGUCUUACUAUCCACAUUAGGAACUUGACACACGUUUUCAUAUACUAGGCUCAAUUACAUCGUUAUUAAUAGAAUAUGAGUGUAGACAAGAAAAAACAUUGCCUGACAUUUCAGUAAACAAAGAAUGUUGCUGGUCAUCAAGCCCUCAGCCACUGCAGCCACCCUUGACUGUGCAGCCUGAGGGGAAUUCAGGAUGGAGAAAAAUAGGAUACCAGCCUGGAUAGUUAAGAUGCUUAUCAAAGGAAUACUUUCAGUGAGCCCAGACUCUUGCAUCGCUCCAUACAUAGAAAAGCACUAAAAUCAUUAACUUGAGAUGCCUGGUUUUUGUGAGUAGCAGGAACCUUGUGAUGUUCAACUGCUGCUGCCCUCUCCCCCGCCAGCAAAAACCACUGUGUAGCCUGGCUCUUCCCUGACCUCUUUGGAAAAGUUCUUCAGAGCUGAGGGGCUGCUUCCCAGGCCACAGUCCUCAAUCAGAUCCCUGAAUAAAAUAUAACUGGCAUCUUUUAGGCUGUGUGGGGCUUUUUAUUCAGUUGACUUUGAGAGACCUGCAAUCGGCAGGCUGCACCAAGAAUCUCAAUUUCCCGUGAGUUCCACCGCAGAUUCACAAUCAAAGAUUUUGGUGGAGUCCUGAUUUUCCUGUUAUACAAAUGGAACUGACUUAAACUUUCCUAUAGGUAUUGCUGGGCACCCAGGUGCUCUGCAAAUACCUGAUACAUGUUAUUGCUCACAUUUCCGUAAUUCAUUUCACUCUCAAGGUGGCUUUUUUUUUUUUUUUCCUCUUUUUUUUACUGCCUGUGAAGACCAACAACUGUGUCAGUUGCUCAACCAGUUUUGCUUCCUUGAAAAGCAUCCUGGAACAGCUCUUGAUCCAAUUUCUUCUCGUCAGAAUUCUGAUAGUCAACAUGAGGCUUUACCUCUCUCACUCCUUUAUUUUAGAAGCCGGUAUUCCUUGUCAUUCGGUUUCUCUCUGUAUUAAUAAUCCUUUUUCUCCUGUGUGUGUUACUAUCUCUGUUUCUGCUCUAGGUAUUAACAUUUUACUUAGGAGAACCCCUUUUUCAGCUAUUGAAGCUGGAUAACACAGCUUAUCCAGAUGUAUUACUUACCACACUAGGCUUAUACAUUCUUAAUUUUCUUUAAGAAUGCCGAAGGCCAUCUAGUACUUGCUAUUAAUGUGACAUUUCUUUUAAAAGUUAGAAAAAUUACAUCCAUAUUUUAAACAUGCUUUAAAAAGGAAAAAGACUCCAUGCUUAAUCCUACAUAUUUCAAUAAAAUCUGAGUUCUUUGCUUCGUGCCCUGUGUUUCACUUGAAGGAUUUUUCUUUUCAUGGCUGCACUUGCAGCAGGCAUAUGCAAACUGACAGGUUAGGGGUCAAAUCAGAGCUGCAGCUGAGGCCUAUGCCACAGCAGCAACAUUGGAUCUGAGCCACAUCUGUGAUCUACACUGCAGUUUGUGGCAAUGCUGGAUCCUUAACCCACUGAGCCAGACCAGAGGUCGAACCUGCAUCCUCACAGACGCUAAGUUGGGUUUUUAACACUGAGUCACCAUGGGAACCCCACUUGCAGACUUUUUAAGCAUUUUAAAUAGUUUCCUAGCUAGCCAAGGUUUAUAACAAUAAACCAAAUAUAUUCACACAAUGUGCAUCACCGUUAGUGUUUAUGUUAAUAUAUACACAUCAAGCUCUAGUUCUUAUUGAUAAGAAGGGGACACACACACACACACACACACACACACACACACACACACACACGCUCUCUCUCUCUCAUUCUGUAUGCAUUUAUAUAAAACAAAGGGAAGCACCUUGGUGUUGAAAGACUGUCUUCCCAGAAUUCUUAGUCACACAUCCUGGAAUGAACCAUCAACAGAGAAUUUCCAAAUAGUAAGGACUCUUGGUUGGUGAUUAAACAAUGAAGUCCACAACUCAAACUUGAGGUGUUUUAAUUACUGAACACGUAAAUUCCCUAGUUAACCAGAUUUAUUUGGUUAUUCUGAAUGGCCAAAUUAAUUUGCAACAUACCACAGCUAUUUAUAUCACACAUGGCCCAGAGUUAAGAUUUUCAAAAACCUACUGUCCUACAGAGCCAUACUUCCUUGCUGCAUGAUGCCCGGGGCCUAGCUUUCACAUAUGCCAUAUCUCUGUCAUGCUUUUCACAUGUAUAGUGUGCUUUAUGGAAGUAAGCCAAAACAAAACAAAAAAAAAACAAAAAAAAACCCCACCUCAUUAAAAAUUUUAUUAUAAAAGUGUGCUUUAUUAUAAGGAAAAUUUAAAUAUAACCAACAAUACUGAAAAUAAUGUAACUGGCAUUUACAGUCUUGGUCAGAGUUCUUUAUUAAACAGGCAUUUGUAAUUAACAAUCAGCUUAUGCAACAAAAUAGGUAACUUGAAAAAGUGAAUAAAGUUAAGAAUACAGAAUAAUGAACUAGGAACAUGGGGUUCUUUGAGUUUUUUUCUUGUUUAGCAGACAUGGCUUUUAAAACCUGAAAUAGAAAACAAGUCCUCUUCACCUAGUAGGCUCUCUUCCUACUUCCAGGUAAUGGGAAAGUUUGGAAAAUUGUUGAAGUGUUCUAAAAUGUGGCCCGAAGGUAUACUUUAUAUGCUUCUUAUAUAGACAUUAUCCAUUUUAACAUAUUUUAACCACGUCUUCAUUACACAAGCAAGACCAUAAACAUUCUCUCAUAAGACCACACUAGCCACAGAAUAUUUUUACUCAUGUAGAUAUUUCUUUGAAAAGAUUCCCAAAGUGAAAUUGCUCAUUUAAAAGUGAACAACGGAUUAGAAAUAAUCUCAUUCGACACUGGGGUCAUGUAGGCCUAGAAAUCACAUAAGAGUAUACUGAUUUGGCUGAAUGUCAUUACAUUCAUUUGAUGUAGCAGAAUAAUUAAACAUAUCAAUUGUCAACAAAAACCUAUGCAUUUGGGUUCACUCUGCAUUUCUGAGAGUCUACAUUAGCGCAAAUGGCAAGGCCUAAUAGUGUAUUCGGAAUGGGGAGAAAUUCCAUUUAUCUUUAUUCCAUUUAUCUUUGUUUUGCUUACAAACAUUUAUUUCUCCCACCUUGGAAACCCAUGGGAGUUUGCAUGGGAGUCUGCAAAGGAAUGUAUUAUGUACGCUUAGCGGAGAACCCAGAAAUAUCAUGUAGGCAUGUUGAUAAGGACCCCAAAUAUUUUUGCUAUAGGAGACAUUUUUCUCAUCAUAUGUAAUAAGAUCUUAGGCUUUUAGAAGAUAAGUAAAUUUAAAGAGCAUUUUAAAAUACUGGUCACAUUAAAUGGCAAACUCAAAUUUUUAAAGAUAACGAAUACAGAGAAUGGCAAAA
This is a non-coding RNA of Sus scrofa (pig), 5461 nucleotides long. NCBI's taxonomy places the organism in Eukaryota, Metazoa, Chordata, Mammalia, Artiodactyla, Suidae. The record is from RefSeq and is a predicted model, not a curated record.